RNAcentral lists this ribosomal RNA (463 nucleotides) under uncultured bacterium. RNAcentral describes it as "SSU rRNA". It matches the Rfam family "Bacterial small subunit ribosomal RNA", at positions 26 to 518 of the family's 1533-position model. The record is from RNAcentral.
AGGACUAACGCUGGCGGCGUGCCUAACACAUGCAAGUCGAGCGGGGUAGCAAUACCCAGCGGCAGACGGGUGAGUAACGCGUGGUCAACCUUCCGUUGAAUGGGGGAUAACUAGCCGAAAGGUUAGCUAAUACCGCAUACGAUCUUUUGAAGGCAUCUUUAAAAGAUGAAAGGAGCAAUUCGUUCAACGACGGGACCGCGUCCCAUUAGCUAGAUGGUGGGGUAAUGGCCUACCAUGGCAACGAUGGGUAGCUGGUUUGAGAGAGCGACCAGCCACACUGGGACUGAGAAACGGCCCAGACUCCUACGGGAGGCAGCAGUGAGGAAUUUUCCGCAAUGGGCGAAAGCCUGACGGAGCGACGCCGCGUGUGGGAAGAAGGCCUUCGGGUCGUAAACCACUGUCGAAGGGGACGAUAAUGACGGUACCCUUGGAGGAGCCCGGCUAACUACGUGCCAGCAGCCGC